AAUUUCACAGGAUUGUCAGUAAGAUGGAUGUUGGAGAGUGAGUAACUUGCUGGAGAUUGAAAUCAUUCUGACAUGUGGCAUAUUGAUCUCAUUACUGGGUCAACCGCUUUAAGUUUCUUCAAGAAGCCCUGAUGCAAGUAAAAGCACUUUAAUCCAAGCCCAGCAGUAUCUGAUUGACCAUCUGAAGAUCUUACCCCACUCUACACGUCUUUUUUCAAGCCCUGGUCAGUCAAACCAGAGGACACACUGCAGGUU
RNAcentral lists this long non-coding RNA (255 nucleotides) under Sinocyclocheilus grahami. RNAcentral's name for it is "lncRNA (ENSSGRG00000016310.1)". Lineage: Eukaryota; Metazoa; Chordata; Actinopteri; Cypriniformes; Cyprinidae. The record is from RNAcentral.